CAAGGCACACCGGUGGGCCUGACUGUUUAAGUGGAGGCGGAUCCGGAUGGUAGCAGCCUUCACGCGGGGGAGGUGUAUUCUUGCGAAUACGCUUUUAGCAUCGCUGCAGCACCCUAGGACGAGCCACUGGGCCGUCCCAAUACCUAGACUGCGCAUAGUGCGCGUCUUAGCCCAUUUGGUGGGGAUUUCUCUUUUUCUUUUGCCAUGUAUACGAAACUAUUCAUAACUAUUUCAUUUGUACUUGAAAUCUAAUGAUUCAAGUUCCUGGAGAUUCAUAAGAUCAUUUCCUACACAACUAUGUGAAUUGCACAUUUUUUAGAAACUUUGUGUGGUGUUAAAACUCAAACUCAAAUUUGAGUAUUUU
This 364-nucleotide long non-coding RNA is filed under the name Hordeum vulgare. RNAcentral's name for it is "long non-coding RNA (HVUL_LNC016552)". Lineage: Eukaryota; Viridiplantae; Streptophyta; Magnoliopsida; Poales; Poaceae. The record is from RNAcentral.